AUUUUGGUGGCUGAGCUAGGCGAAUGAUUGUAAAUCAUUUCACGGAGGAAUACUCCCUAGAGUU
This 64-nucleotide transfer RNA is filed under the name Pupa strigosa. Its description in RNAcentral is "tRNA-Tyr". Lineage: Eukaryota; Metazoa; Mollusca; Gastropoda; Acteonidae. The record is from RNAcentral.